CAAUUUCAGUAUGUUUCAUAGGCUGGUCUCAAAACUACUGUGCUAAACCAACUUCUCUGCCUCAGCCCCCUGAGUGGACCACAAGCCCACACCACUGGUUUUAUACAUCUUUAAACAGAAAAUAUAAUCAAACACCCAUCGAAGGAAGAAGGAACCUGGGCCAAUGAGAUGGAUCAGAAGGAAAAGGCGUCUGUGGCCAAGCCUCAAGUUCAGUCCUUGGGGGCCCACGUGAUGGAAGGAGAGAACCGACUCCUGCGAGCUUGUCCCUAGGGCUCCACAGGCCUUCCCAGACCCCUUCAGAAAUGAUUGCCGGGCAAUGUUUUGGAAACACUGGUGAGCGGUGCCUUGCUUGCGGGUCAGCACCUCGAUGGACUUGGUGGCUCAGGCUCUUCGAAGGAGCCGCAGGGAUCCUGACAGAGACCAGCUCAGAGCCUAGGCUCUUCCUGGCUUUUGAAAUGGUUGUUCAAAGCAAAUAACAAAAAGGAAUGCUGUUCUGGAUGCGUUUAAAAUUUUUUGAAAAUCAAUGACUCAUUUGUUACAGAGUAACGAAGAGCAAAAUAAAAGAGGCUUCAUAAAAACUGCACUUGAACCCUGUGGCGGAACUCUGAACGAACUCUGUGCCGAGGGUGUGCGAUUCUGGAGUACAACCUGGUUAGGGGUCCGGCUUUGGAAAAGCAUUUGAUCCACCACACUGAAGGACGUCUCCGCUGACAGAAUACAUUGCUCAUUUGAGGAAAGACUCACUCUGUCGAACGGAUCCAAUCCAGAAUAUGACUAACUGUUUUAAGCAGAAAAUUAUCUCUGGCUGUUAUAUGCAAAUUAUGCAAUACCAUUGCCUUAAAAUUGGGAAGAAGAUAAUGAAGAGUCGCCAAGGACAGGGUGUGGCCAUCAUGGGACUUUUUAGGCCAUUUUGCUUCUAUCUCCUGUGCUGAGACCUACCCACAGGGACCACCCUGAUAUGUUCUUUUUUGUUUGCUUGUUUGGCUUAAGAUCUGAGCCAUUACACAAGGACUGGGGGGGCCUUCGCUCUCCACCACUCCCUUCAAACGCAUUUUUCCAUUUGAGCCUUCCUCCUUGGACUCAAAACACACUGACUGAUGUGUUACAAGCACAGACCGGAGGUAGGAAGUUAGCUCAGUGGUAGAACAUUCUCUUGCAUACAUAAGGGCCUGAGUUCA
Psammomys obesus (fat sand rat) is the source of this 1178-nucleotide long non-coding RNA. RefSeq lists it as uncharacterized. The record is from RefSeq and is a predicted model, not a curated record. The transcript is spliced from 3 exons. Lineage: Eukaryota; Metazoa; Chordata; Mammalia; Rodentia; Muridae.